GAUCAUGGCUCAGAUUAAACGCUGGCGGCAUGCCUUACACAUGCAAGUCGAACGGCAGCACGGGGGCAACCCUGGUGGCGAGUGGCGGACGGGUGAGUAAUGCAUCGGAACGUGCCCUGAAGUGGGGGAUAACGCAGCGAAAGCUACGCUAAUACCGCAUAUUCUGUGAGCAGGAAAGCAGGGGAUCGCAAGACCUUGCGCUUUGGGAGCGGCCGAUGUCGGAUUAGCUAGUUGGUGGGGUAAAGGGCCUACCAAGGCGACGAUCCGUAGCGGGUCUGAGAGGAUGAUCCGCCACACUGGGACUGAGACACGGCCCAGACUCCUACGGGAGGCAGCAGUGGGGAAUUUUGGACAAUGGGCGGAAGCCUGAUCCAGCCAUGCCGCGUGAGUGAAGAAGGCCUUCGGGUUGUAAAGCUCUUUCGGCGGGGAAGAAAUUGCUUGGGUUAAUACCCUGAGUAGAUGACGGUACCCGAAUAAGAAGCACCGGCUAACUACGUG
RNAcentral lists this ribosomal RNA (498 nucleotides) under uncultured bacterium. RNAcentral describes it as "bacterial SSU rRNA". It matches the Rfam family "Bacterial small subunit ribosomal RNA", at positions 15 to 507 of the family's 1533-position model. The record is from RNAcentral.